RNAcentral lists this ribosomal RNA (366 nucleotides) under Triticum aestivum (bread wheat). Its description in RNAcentral is "partial small subunit ribosomal RNA". Lineage: Eukaryota; Viridiplantae; Streptophyta; Magnoliopsida; Poales; Poaceae. The record is from RNAcentral.
AUGGAAAUCAUCAGCGGAAGAAAGAACCUCGACACUUCCUGGUCAGAAGAGAGCAUUCAUCUCAUUACCCUAUUGGAGGAAAAGGUGAAGUGUGAUCGGUUGGUAGAUUUGAUUGACAAUAAAAGCACCGACAUGCGAGCACACAAGCAAGAUGUAAUUCAGAUGAUGAUGCUUGCAAUGGGGUGCUUGCAGAUUGAUUGCAAAAAAAGGCCUAAAAUGUCUGAGGUGGUAAAAGUAUUGGAAGGUACCAUGACUGUAGACCUCAACAUAGAACAUAAAUUUGUUGUAACAACUCCAACAAAUUUUGGUAGCACAGGAAAUUUGAGCUCUUCAGCCCCACCUACAACCUCAGAUAUAUCAGGCCCC